GUUUCCUGGAUAAUUUAGCUCCUGAGGAAAGAGAUAAGAUCUAAUAAAUCAUUCAAAGGAUUAACCCAACGUUUAUUCAUUCAUUAAUUAUUUAUUGAUCCUUUGCCUCAUCCCAAGCAAGAGGAGAGGUGCUGGGGAGUCAGAGACCAGUAAGACAUGGUGUGUGCUUUCAGAAGCUUCUGGUCCAGUGUAGUGCUGGUGUGCUGUUAGCACACAGAAUCAUGGAUUGCUGGCCUCCCUCCCCAGAAAUUCUAAUUUGGUGUAUCUUGGAUGGAACCUAAGAAACUGCUUAACCAAUGAGCUUCCAUACCGUCCACAGGUCACUCUGAGUGGCGCCGGUCUAAGUGAGUGGUGGGUAGGGAAGGGUCCUGUACACGAAUAAACCAGUAGUGCUGAGGGGUGCUGGAGAAAACCUUUGGCUGCUAGGAACCCUGACAGGGCAUCUAGGUUAGCCUCGGAGUGGAAGAGAAAGUAUUGCUUAAGCUGGGUUUUGAAGGGUGCAUUAGAGUUAUCUAGCAAAGACUGGUGAUGCUAGUUGGAGGGAGGGGAGAGGAAUGAAGAGAAUUCCAGAAGAGAAGCAGCAGGGGCGUAGAUUGGCAAACAGCUCAAUAUGGCUCGAGUGGAGGGUACAUGUGGAAGAACAAGGCCUCUACUGUGUGCCAGGUAUGGAGCAAGAUCAUGAACUGCGCAGGAACAUGAAGCCUUCGUCUGUUAGGCUAAACUAGCUGGCUUUUAUCCACAGAAUAAGGCAGUGACAUUGAAGGGAUUUGAGACAGAGGAGAGGACAGUUUUGUGUUUUAGAAACGUCUCUCUGAACUCCGGGAAGGAGAGACUGGAUCGGAUGGGAGGCAGGAGGAGCAGUUAGGACUGAAUAAUGCAAAUGAAGACCAAAGAGGGCCAGGGAAUGAAGAGAAGGAUGAUGAUUCUAGAAAAUGGAGGGGAGAUCUGCAGGGCGCAGUGGCCGUAACAUCCAGUUUAAAAGGGGCUGGCUGAAGCUGGAAUGAAAUUUGCCUUACAUUUAUCCUUACGGAGAGGAAAAGAAAACAGUUUUUUUACUGUGCUGUCGUCUGUAGAUAAUUGGUUUAUGGAUACCCACCCUUGAUUCUAAAAUUCUUUUAGGAAGAAGGGAAACGAGGAUCUACAUAACUAGUUAAUAACUGAGAUUCUGGAACAAGACUGCCUGGAUUUGAAGCUUGGCUCUAGCUACAUGUGACUUCAGUGGCUAGGUCAUACAAGCAAGACGUCAUAGCUUCUGAGCUGCUUUUUCGGAUCACUCACUUUGGGAAGCCAGUGGCCAUGUGGUGAGGACACUCAAGUCAUUCUAUGGAAAGAUCCAAGUGGCACGGAUGUGAAGGGUCCUGAUACCAGCCUUGUGAGUGGGUCUGAAAGCAGAUCCUCUGGAACCAGUCAAGCCUUCAGCCAACUGCAGCCUCAGCCCACAUGUUGACCUUCACCUCAGGAGAGACCUCAAACCAGAAGUACCC
This 1484-nucleotide long non-coding RNA is filed under the name Equus caballus (horse). RNAcentral describes it as "lncRNA (ENSECAG00000059007.1)". The record is from RNAcentral. Lineage: Eukaryota; Metazoa; Chordata; Mammalia; Perissodactyla; Equidae.